This 352-nucleotide unclassified non-coding RNA is filed under the name soil metagenome. RNAcentral's name for it is "partial contains 5.8S ribosomal RNA, internal transcribed spacer 2, and large subunit ribosomal RNA". The stretch from base 1 to 120 matches the Rfam family "5.8S ribosomal RNA", at positions 35 to 154 of the family's 154-position model. The record is from RNAcentral.
GAUGAAGAACGUAGCGAAAUGCGAUAAGUAAUGUGAAUUGCAGAAUUCAGUGAAUCAUCGAAUCUUUGAACGCACAUUGCGCCCGCCAGUAUUCUGGCGGGCAUGCCUGUUCGAGCGUCAUUACAACCCUCAGGCCCCCGGGCCUGGCGUUGGGGAUCGGCGGAGCCCCCCGUGGGCUCACGCCGUCCCCCAAAUACAGUGGCGGUCCCGCCGCAGCUUCCAUCGCGUAGUAGCUAACACCUCGCGACUGGAGAGCGGCGCGGCCACGCCGUAAAACACCCAACUCUUCUGAAGUUGACCUCGAAUCAGGUAGGAAUACCCGCUGAACUUAAGCAUAUCAAUAAGCGGAGGA